GCAAUCAUGUGUCUAUUAAUUGUAGACAGGUAUGAAAGAAUAAACAUAAAAAAAUUUUUUUUAGUUAAAAUUAGAACUUAAAAAAUUAAAAAAUAAAAUUUAAAAUUACAAGACGAGAAGACCCUAAAAACUUUCUGUAAACAGUUUUUUGGGGAAAAUUUUUAUAAAAUUUUUAAAAAAAAUUAUGAAAAAACUAUAAAAGAAAAAAUAAGUUACUUUAGGGAUAACAGAGCAAUAUUUGUUUAAAGACCUUAUUUAAGCUAAAGAUUGCGACCUCGAUGUUGGAUUCUCUAAUCUAAAACUUGCAGCAAAGUUUUAAGAGUUGACUGUUCGUUUUUUAAAAAGAG
This 347-nucleotide ribosomal RNA is filed under the name Acaphyllisa sp. NJAUAcariEriYN294.2. Its description in RNAcentral is "partial 16S ribosomal RNA". Lineage: Eukaryota; Metazoa; Arthropoda; Arachnida; Trombidiformes; Eriophyidae. The record is from RNAcentral.